Molecule: unclassified non-coding RNA, 342 nt
Filed under: uncultured Agaricales
Lineage: Eukaryota; Fungi; Basidiomycota; Agaricomycetes; Agaricales
Description: sequence contains ITS1
Rfam family: 5.8S ribosomal RNA (bases 1-104)
Source: RNAcentral
AAAAUGCGAUAACUAAUGUGAAUUGCAGAUUACGUGAAUCAUCCAGUCUCUGAACGCAAAUUGCACCCUGUGGUAUUCCGCAGGGUAUACCUGUUUGAGUGGUGUUUAAAAGGGAGCUCGUCUCCAAUUGAUGACUUGUUCAUCGCGUGCACGUUAAGUAAAGGCAGUGUCAUGAUGACCGCCGUGCAUUAGGAAUGUAUACAUGUGGGUUUAAUGGCGAUUAGAUUCUUCUAACCGACAGCCUGCAUCUAUACGGAAUCAGUUUACGAAGCACUGUUCACGGCCUUACCAACCAUUUUAUAGUCAUACCUCAAAUCAGGCAAGAUUACCCGCUGAACUUAA